GACGAACCGUGCGAACGUUGUUCGGAAUCACUGGGCUUAAAGGGCGCGUAGGCGGGCUCCCAAGUCUGGGGUGAAAUCUUUCGGCUUAACCGGAAAAGUGCCUCGGAUACUGGGAGCCUUGAGGGAGGCAGGGGCGGAUGGAACUUCCGGUGGAGCGGUGAAAUGCGUUGAUAUCGGAAGGAACGCCGGUGGCGAAAGCGAUCCGCUGGACCUCUUCUGACGCUGAGGCGCGAAAGCCAGGGGAGCAAACGGG
RNAcentral lists this ribosomal RNA (253 nucleotides) under uncultured bacterium. Its description in RNAcentral is "partial 16S ribosomal RNA". It matches the Rfam family "Bacterial small subunit ribosomal RNA", at positions 524 to 776 of the family's 1533-position model. The record is from RNAcentral.